GACGAACGCUGGCGGUGUGCUUAACACAUGCAAGUCGAACGGUAAGGCCCUUUCGGGGGUACCCGAGUGGCGAACGGGUGAGUAACACGUGAGUAACCUGCCCUCAUCUCUGGGAUAACAGUCGGAAACGGUUGCUAAUACUGGAUAUGAGCUUGCAAGGCAUCUUUUGGGUUGGAAAGAUUUUUUUUGGUUGGGGAUGGACUCGCGGCCUAUCAGCUUGUUGGUGAGGUAGUGGCUCACCAAGGCUUCGACGGGUAGCCGGCCUGAGAGGGCGACCGGCCACAUUGGGACUGAGAUACGGCCCAAACUCCUACGGGAGGCAGCAGUGGGGAAUAUUGCACAAUGGACGGAAGUCUGAUGCAGCAACGCCGCGUGCGGGAUGACGGCAUUCGGGUUGUAAACCGCUGUCAAUUGUGACGAAGCUUUUUUGUGACGGUAGCAGUAGAAGAAGCACCGGCUAACUACGUG
Molecule: ribosomal RNA, 468 nt
Filed under: uncultured bacterium
Lineage: Bacteria
Description: partial 16S ribosomal RNA
Rfam family: Bacterial small subunit ribosomal RNA
Source: RNAcentral